AGCUCGCGUUGACUACGUCCUGCCCUUUGUACACACCGCCCGUCGCUCCUACCGAUUGAAUGAUCCGGUGAAGUGUUCGGAUCGCGGCGACGUGGGCGGUUCGCUGGCCCGCACGUCGGCGAGAAGUCCACUGAACCUUAUCAUUUAGAGGAAGGAGAAGUCGUAACAAGGUUUCCGUAGGUGAACCUGCGGAAGGAUCAUUG
Molecule: non-coding RNA, 203 nt
Filed under: Ipomoea nil (Japanese morning glory)
Lineage: Eukaryota; Viridiplantae; Streptophyta; Magnoliopsida; Solanales; Convolvulaceae
Description: Eukaryotic small subunit ribosomal RNA
Rfam family: Eukaryotic small subunit ribosomal RNA
Source: Rfam by way of RNAcentral